AACGAACGCUGGCGGCAUGCCUAACACAUGCAAGUCGAACGAGACCUUCGGGUCUAGUGGCGCACGGGUGCGUAACGCGUGGGAACCUGCCCUUAGGUUCGGAAUAACUCCCCGAAAGGGGUGCUAAUACCGGAUAAUGUCUUCGGACCAAAGAUUUAUCGCCUUUGGAUGGGCCCGCGUUGGAUUAGCUAGUUGGUAGGGUAAAAGCCUACCAAGGCGACGAUCCAUAGCUGGUCUGAGAGGAUGAUCAGCCACACUGGGACUGAGACACGGCCCAGACUCCUACGGGAGGCAGCACUGGGGAAUAUUGGACAAUGGGCGAAAGCCUGAUCCAGCAAUGCCGCGUGAGUGAUGAAGGCCUUAGGGUUGUAAAGCUCUUUUACCCGGGAUGAUAAUGACAGUACCGGGAGAAUAAGCUCCGGCUAACUCCGUG
RNAcentral lists this ribosomal RNA (433 nucleotides) under uncultured bacterium. Its description in RNAcentral is "partial 16S ribosomal RNA". It matches the Rfam family "Bacterial small subunit ribosomal RNA", at positions 29 to 507 of the family's 1533-position model. The record is from RNAcentral.